AAAAAAAAAAAAAAGAGAAAAAGAUAUGAGUUUCAUCUUUUAAACAAGUAACAUGGAAGCUUAAGGCAAAACAACUCUAAAGUUCUAAUAAAUUGUGGCAUGUUUAUCUUGUUCGAAUUCCAAUUAAGAGGGUGUUUGUCUUAGGUUAUAAGCAAGUUUGACCAGCUUAUAAGCUCUAAAAUUAAGUUGAUCUUUUUUGGGCUUACAAAAAGAAUAAGUUAAGGGGAUUAACUUUUCAUUUUGAUGUUUAUAAACACUAUGCCUAUAAGCUAGUUUGACCAAUACAUUACCAUGUUACCCCCUUUUAAUUUUAAAAUUACGUCACAUACUUUAUGUAAUGCCUUUUUUAAUAAUUAAAAAAAAAUGUGCUUAUAAGCUAAUUUUUACCAAACUUAUCGGCUUUUUAUAAAUAUUAUAACUAUAUAUGUAAUUGUUUAAAAUUUUAAAUGCUCACAAG
Molecule: unclassified non-coding RNA, 457 nt
Filed under: Hevea brasiliensis (rubber tree)
Lineage: Eukaryota; Viridiplantae; Streptophyta; Magnoliopsida; Malpighiales; Euphorbiaceae
Source: RNAcentral